RNAcentral lists this transfer RNA (72 nucleotides) under Sus scrofa (pig). It matches the Rfam family "tRNA". From Rfam's summary of the family: Transfer RNA (tRNA) molecules are approximately 80 nucleotides in length. Their secondary structure includes four short double-helical elements and three loops (D, anti-codon, and T loops). Lineage: Eukaryota; Metazoa; Chordata; Mammalia; Artiodactyla; Suidae. The record is from Rfam by way of RNAcentral.
UCCCUGCUGGUAUAGUGGUUAGGACUCGGCAUUUUCACUGCUGUGGCCCAGGUUCAAUCCCUGAUCUGGGAA